RNAcentral lists this ribosomal RNA (208 nucleotides) under Klebsiella pneumoniae. RNAcentral describes it as "partial 16S ribosomal RNA". It matches the Rfam family "Bacterial small subunit ribosomal RNA", at positions 359 to 559 of the family's 1533-position model. The record is from RNAcentral. Lineage: Bacteria; Pseudomonadati; Pseudomonadota; Gammaproteobacteria; Enterobacterales; Enterobacteriaceae.
GAAUAUUGCACAAUGGGCGCAAGCCUGAUGCAGCCAUGCCGCGUGUGUGAAGAAGGCCUUCGGGUUGUAAAGCACUUUCAGCGGGGAGGAAGGCGGUGAGGUUAAUAACCUCAUCGAUUGACGUUACCCGCAGAAGAAGCACCGGCUAACUCCGUGCCAGCAGCCGCGGUAAUACGGAGGGUGCAAGCGUUAAUCGGAAUUACUGGGC